Molecule: ribosomal RNA, 459 nt
Filed under: uncultured bacterium
Lineage: Bacteria
Description: partial 16S ribosomal RNA
Rfam family: Bacterial small subunit ribosomal RNA
Source: RNAcentral
CCUACGGGUGGCAGCAGUGAGGAAUAUUUGUCAAUGGGCGGGAGCCUGAACCAGCCAAGUCGCGUGAGGGAUGACGGCACUAUGGGUUGUAAACCUCUUUUGCCGGGGCGCACCGUGCCGCACGUGUGCGGUUUGGAGUGUACCCGGCGAAAAAGCAUCGGCUAACUCCGUGCCAGCAGCCGCGGUACUAAGGAGGAUGCGAGCGUUAUCCGGAUUUAUUGGGUUUAAAGGGUUCGUAGUCGGACGCUUAAGUCAGCGGUAAAAGUGCGGGGCUCAACCUCGUCGAGCCGUUGACACUGGGUGCCGUGAGUGGGCGAGAAGUACGCGGAAGGCGUGGUGUAGCGGUGAAAUGCAGAGAUAUCACGCAGAACUCCGAUGGCGAAGGCAGCGUACCGGCGCCCAACUGACGCUGAAGCACGAAGGCGUGGGUAUCGAACAGGAUUAGAUACCCGAGGAGUC